UACUUGGUCCAUAUGGCAGUCUGAGUCACAUCCAAGAGUGACAUAGGUCCAUCAUCACAAUGGUUUGACCUAGCUUAUCCACCUCACUACCUGGGCACCUUUCUUUGGUGCUGCUGUUGCCAUGACCAGCACCAUUGGGAAGACAAGAGUAAAGAUGGUGUACUAACCCCUGCCAACUCCUUUUCUAACUAUGGUUCUGCUAGGAGAGAAGAUUCCUAAUAGCUGCCUUUCCAUCAGUGAGUCCUACCAGAAUGUCCUAGCUACCAUCCUACUCUUGUUGGGGCUCCUUGCCUUACUGGAUAAUGCCAUCAAAAUUGCCCGCCUGAUCUGGAUUUACCUGUAUCAGUUUCUGAAGAGACUCUUCCAUUAUUUCACCACCAAAGCAUACGGAUGGAUCAAGGCUCUAACAGCCAUUUCCCGCAGCAAGAAUUCCAGUGGCCGGAAGGAGCGAGUGCUGACCAAAGGCCAGAGAAAUAUCUCCAUCUUGCACUUCCACUGCACUCUGGAUCCUCUGAGGCUAACCGUGAACAUGAACAACCUAAAUGGACUGAAAAGCCACUGUCCCCAGGGUCACAGGAAGGACAAAGGUUACCAUGGUUCCAGGCCAACCCAUCAAGACACUGAUGAUGAGAAAGCCAGUUGGUAUGGGCACCAGCAGCAACACCGCCGGGUGAACAACCGGCCUAACCCAGGUCAACGUUACUGUGACUGGGCAAGCCAGUCCAGCUCCCGUCACUCAGACAGUGACAGUCCUCAGCUAGUGUGCCCAGCCGGAUCCACUGUGUCAUCAGUGCGUUUUCAUACCAGCUCCCCAGAGCAGGUUGCCAAGGCCAGAGGCAGCUUGGCUGACUGGGGCAUUUACAUACACAACCCAAAGGGGGUCACUAGGGAUAAAGAGCUCGGCUUGGACAGUGCAGAAGAAACUACACGACGGCAGAGUUUCCUGCAUCAAUGUGCUGUUCCAAACGCAGAGGAACCCAUCAGCCUCCGUUCAGAGUGCUCUGCUGUGCACAUUCACCCCCAAGUCAAUGAGGCACACUUCAUGGCCAGCCCAAUCUUCCCAGGCCCUAAGCGGGUAGUGUACUCUGCCCUGGCUCCCACCCCAGAGUCUAGAACCUGUCUCAACAAUGAUUACUACCACUCAGUGACCCAGGCAUAUCAUCAGAGGAGUCCUGAGCACCAUUCUGGGACUGAAUUUCACCACAGCUUGCCACUGGUCCAGCGAGCCGAAGUCUACAUUUAUCUUGUCAACCCACUGCCUCUCGGCCCAGAGCACACCGCUGAACGGUCCACCCACCCCUUUUCGGCAUCUCGCACUAUCUUGGUCAAGGACACAUUGGCAAACCGGGUAUCCGUUGGCCACACCUGGGAAAAUUCCAACCAAGGCCCAGCGGGGCAGAUUAUCAGUGACACCCACACACAACGCAAGAGCAUCUGGGAGAGAAAACACCAAGCUAGCACACUGCAGCUGAGCCCAGACUAUGAGAAGCUGGCAGGAAGCAGUGAUGGUGCCAACCUGAUCCACAACCCACCUCUCCUGGCAGACACGACAAGAGGAGGUUCUGAAACAGCACCACCCAACAUUAGCAAUUGAAGGUACCAUACAACUGGAUUUACCACCCAGCUGACUUCAAUUCCUGGCAUGGAUGAGAUUCUGAUGCCUGGUGAACCCUGGGGGAUCUGAACUAGGUCAUGUUUUCAACUUUUAAUCAUUUUUGUUGCUCUUCUCUGGACUUUCUCCAAUUGUCCACAUCUUUCCUGAAAUGUGGCACCCAGAACUGGACACAAUACUCCAGUUGAGGCCUAAUCAGCGCAGAGUAGAGCAGAAGAAUUACUUCUAGUGUCUCGCUUAUGUAAGCAAAGUCAGGAUGAGCUCUACCCUGACAUCUGCUGGUGAAUUAUGGGAAGUGUGCAAAGAAUUUCAGGAAUGUGAAAUCUCAGGUAUUUGCAUGGGCACACCCAGCAUAGCCCAAGGCAGCCUAGGAUGGUUAUUUUGACAGCUCUGGGAUCCCCAAUGUCUUUGUUAUUGGGGCAGGAUAAAUAAAGUGUUGCCACCUGAUUAUGUGAAUGAGGAACUACCAGACUGCUUUAUGACAGAGAUGUCUCAAUAUAAAUUAAGUGACACUUGCUAGA
Gopherus flavomarginatus (Mexican gopher tortoise) is the source of this 2133-nucleotide RNA transcript. RefSeq lists it as uncharacterized. The transcript is spliced from 4 exons. The record is from RefSeq and is a predicted model, not a curated record. NCBI's taxonomy places the organism in Eukaryota, Metazoa, Chordata, Testudines, Testudinidae.